Non-coding RNA from Camellia sinensis, 482 nucleotides. The record is from RefSeq and is a predicted model, not a curated record. NCBI's taxonomy places the organism in Eukaryota, Viridiplantae, Streptophyta, Magnoliopsida, Ericales, Theaceae.
CUCCACUUUUAUCAACAAAUCCUCCAUGGAUCUUGUAUCAAGGAUGGACAACAAGAAAUGGUCAACAUUUCCAACCGAUUGAAUUUCUAAAUUGAGGUGGAAUCUCAUCCAAGCUCGCUCCUUUGUUUGUUCUUCGAGGGCACACUUCAGGAGGGACAAGCACUCCGUUGUAGCACUGUAAUCACUUAGGGAGUUCGUCUUAACCCUUGAAGCUCACCCUUCAGUUGUCAACCUCAGUAUGCCCAGGCUCCCAGACCAAGUCUAUGCAUUUAUGUCAAGUUUUGUUAAGAUUUUGGCUUGCACUUGAAUUAUUUACCUAAGGUUAAAAUGUAUGUAUAUGAUCCCUUUCUAUACCAAUGUUUGUUUAUGCGGUCAUGUAUGUGUAUGGGUAUGUCUAAAAUUAAAUGACUCUCAUGAAUGUGAUCCUGGCAUGUUAGGUUUAGCUCAAUGGAUGCUUUUCUGUGUUAUUUUAUUAUAUUAAA